Molecule: long non-coding RNA, 901 nt
Filed under: Olea europaea (common olive)
Lineage: Eukaryota; Viridiplantae; Streptophyta; Magnoliopsida; Lamiales; Oleaceae
Description: long non-coding RNA (OEUR_LNC014186)
Source: RNAcentral
UAUCUCCACGUCUUGUUGAUUUGCUAUCUGAACAAAUGUCUUCAAUAUAGACGACAAAUCUUCAAGCAGCUCUUUCGGCUUCGAUUUACCCAAACAAAUACAUCUCGAUUCUCCACUAGACUCACCUUCAAAUUGCAAAGGUAUUUCUUCCAACGAUGAUGAAUUGUCAUUCCACUUGAAAUAACCACAAUCUACUACAACAUGAGAAUAAGCAGCCUAUGUUUUCAAUUUUUUUUCUCUACCUCCAUACAUUUCAAAAAACCCAAUCCACAUCCUCGAUGUCGUUUCUUUGUUGGGCAUUCUGACAUGUGGUUUCAAUGAAGUAAUUAGUUAAAAGCAACCUGCACAUCCACGAGCGUGCAUGGAUGAAAUCAUAUGCAUAGUGUGGUUGAUAUAUGAUUUUCUCUAAAAUAGUGAUCAAACCAAUGGCUACUCAAUUGUACCUUAUUCAACUUGCCGAUAUUCAAACUUAUGCUAAAUCACAAUUUUGGUCAAUCCAAAUUAGUUCACAUACCAAAGGGUUGGGGGAUCUUAAACUUCAAUUCAAAAGAGUAAUCAUGCUUAAACAUCAUUUAAUUUAGAUCAAUAGCCCCUUUAAUUUAACAUAUCCUCGAGCAUUAAAACUGAUUACCGUAACUUUCAUUCAAAAUUUCACAAUCAACCAGUCGUUCAAAAUCAACAACCAUUUUUUAAAACAAUUAAAUGCAUUGUCAUGAAAUACCUUCAGAUGAAGUGUACCUUCUAUGUAUGGUAUUGGUUGUCGAUUUUAGCUAGCACAAACCAAAUCAAAUUGGAUGUUUGAAAUGGAAUUGGGGGUUAGGGCUCUGGGUGUGAUUUUGUGCUUGACUCAUUUCUUCUCAUGCUUUCAUUUUCCCCCAAAUUAAAGGUUUUCCAAAAUCGC